AGGCGCAUAGCUCAACUGGUAGAGCAGUGGAUUCCAAAUCCACCGGUUGGGGGUUCGAAUCCUCCUGCGCCUG
This 73-nucleotide transfer RNA is filed under the name Planctomycetota bacterium. RNAcentral describes it as "Planctomycetes bacterium tRNA-Trp". It matches the Rfam family "tRNA". Rfam says of the family: Transfer RNA (tRNA) molecules are approximately 80 nucleotides in length. Their secondary structure includes four short double-helical elements and three loops (D, anti-codon, and T loops). Further hydrogen bonds mediate the characteristic L-shaped molecular structure. tRNAs have two regions of fundamental functional importance: the anti-codon, which is responsible for specific mRNA codon recognition, and the 3' end, to which the tRNAs corresponding amino acid is attached (by aminoacyl-tRNA synthetases). tRNAs cope with the degeneracy of the genetic code in two manners: having more than one tRNA (with a specific anti-codon) for a particular amino acid; and 'wobble' base-pairing, i.e. permitting non-standard base-pairing at the 3rd anti-codon position. Lineage: Bacteria; Pseudomonadati; Planctomycetota. The record is from RNAcentral. RNAcentral also lists the same sequence under 1 other name.